RNAcentral lists this ribosomal RNA (393 nucleotides) under uncultured bacterium. RNAcentral's name for it is "partial 16S ribosomal RNA". It matches the Rfam family "Bacterial small subunit ribosomal RNA", at positions 523 to 918 of the family's 1533-position model. The record is from RNAcentral.
AUACGGAGGAUGCGAGCGUUAUCCGGAUUUAUUGGGUUUAAAGGGAGCGUAGGUGGGAUAUUAAGUCAGCUGUGAAAGUUUGGGGCUCAACCUUAAAAUUGCAGUUGAUACUGGUUUCCUUGAGUACGGUACAGGUGGGCGGAAUUCGUGGUGUAGCGGUGAAAUGCUUAGAUAUCACGAAGAACUCCGAUCGCGAAGGCAGCUCACUGGACUGUUACUGACACUGAGGCUCGAAAGUGUGGGUAUCAAACAGGAUUAGAUACCCUGGUAGUCCACACAGUAAACGAUGAAUACUCGCUGUUUGCGAUAUACAGCAAGCGGCCAAGCGAAAGCAUUAAGUAUUCCACCUGGGGAGUACGCCGGCAACGGUGAAACUCAAAGGAAUUGACGGGG